UACAGAGGGGGCAAGCGUUGUUCGGAAUUACUGGGCGUAAAGGGCUCGUAGGUGGCCAACUAAGUCAGACGUGAAAUCCUUCGGCUUAACCGGGGAACUGCGUCUGAUACUGGAUGGCUUGAAUUCGGGAGAGGGAUGCAGAAUUCCAGGUGUAGCGGUGAAAUGCGUAGAUAUCUGGAGGAAUACCGGUGGCGAAGGCGGCAUCCUGGACCGACAUUGACGCUGAUGAGCGAAAGCUAGGGGAGCAAACGGG
Molecule: ribosomal RNA, 253 nt
Filed under: uncultured bacterium
Lineage: Bacteria
Description: partial 16S ribosomal RNA
Rfam family: Bacterial small subunit ribosomal RNA
Source: RNAcentral